GGAUGUGAGGGUGAUCUGGCUGCAACAUUUGUCACCCCAUUGAUGGCCAGGGUUGAUUCGGCUGAUCUGGCUGGCUAGGCAGGUAUCCCCUUCUUCCCUCACUGCUCCAUGUGUGUCCCUUUCGAAGCUGUGCGCUCGGUCGAAGAGGACGGCCUUCCCCGAAUAUAUGUCUGUGUGUAAGAGGGAGAGAGAUGUAUGUAGGACUUCUCAUGUAAUUCUGUAGACAUUUUUAUGUAUUCUUUACAU
Molecule: small nuclear RNA, 246 nt
Filed under: Erinaceus europaeus (western European hedgehog)
Lineage: Eukaryota; Metazoa; Chordata; Mammalia; Eulipotyphla; Erinaceidae
Description: 7SK RNA
Rfam family: 7SK RNA
About the family: 7SK was discovered as an abundant small nuclear RNA in the mid-70s but a possible function has only recently been suggested. Two independent studies have found that 7SK RNA binds the CDK9/cyclin T complex (known as elongation factor P-TEFb).
Source: Rfam by way of RNAcentral